This 414-nucleotide long non-coding RNA is filed under the name Capsella grandiflora. RNAcentral's name for it is "long non-coding RNA (CGRA_LNC000478)". The record is from RNAcentral. Lineage: Eukaryota; Viridiplantae; Streptophyta; Magnoliopsida; Brassicales; Brassicaceae.
AUCUAGCAUCGAUCCGACGUUUCCAAAAGAACAAAGGAAUCACCGCCAAUAUGAGAAUCAUGGAGACUAUCAGAGCGAACAUCUCCUCCAUCUCUUACAUGCGAUCCAAAAUAACCUAAGAAGAAAGGGAUUUUAAGGAAAAUGUCGAGGAGAAAACGGAACUUGAAUAACAAAACUGGAAGAGGAUCGAUUCAGAUUAUUAGAACCUAAUUGCGUUUUCGAAAUAGAUGUUGCCUUCUCUAUUCCAAGUGCUCGAGGAUUGCAGAGCUCCGCUUAGACUCGGUGGAGAAGACAAGCGGUUCAUUCGUAAUUUCCACGAUUUACUAGUAUGUCACACCAAAAGUCACUAUAUACCGAACCGAAAUCUACCACAUCGUAACCAAAUCAAAGCUUUGUUUAGUUAGUUAAAGGUGC